Caenorhabditis elegans is the source of this 136-nucleotide non-coding RNA. The record is from Ensembl. NCBI's taxonomy places the organism in Eukaryota, Metazoa, Nematoda, Chromadorea, Rhabditida, Rhabditidae.
UUGAUUUUAUGCCAAUAUUACAACUUCUAGGGUGGCUCAUUUUCCUGAAUCGCCGAUGCGAUCACCCUCGUCGGCAAUGAGUGGCCCCCACGCGUUUCGCUUGAUCCAUGCCGCCGAUUUGCUCACAUGAAACACA